ACAGACAAGGCACGGGUGGUGGGUCACCAAAGGCUGACCUUACCCCAGCAGAGGACAUGGCCUUGGAGCUAAAUAAAGGCAGGCCCGUCUUAGAGGGGAUCCCUGGGGGGAAAGAGACGAGCAUAGGUUCCUCCCAAGAUGCCACCCGCUUCAUUCAAGUGUCUGGCAGCACUGUGUUCCUGUUAGAGCCACCAGCACAAGCACCAGACGAUGCUGAUCCAGGUGAAGGCCCCAGUGCAGCAGCAACAGCACAUGAUGGAGACGAUGAUGAAGAGGAGACAUCUCUCUGGAUUCCAGAAGGCAUGAGGACCCAGAUGCUAUACAGUGGGAAAACCAGCCUGGCAACAUAGUGCGUAUUAAUAAAAGGACACCACAUCCUGCCAAAUUCCAGCUGCGCUAAUUGUAUUGUGUUCACAGAGCUCACAAGCUAUCAGAAAGUUGUAUGGCAACCACCUCCGGCGCCAAAUAGAACUGGCAGACAUAGACAUUCAGUACAAGAAGAAAAAGAUGGAAAAUCUUGCACUGGAGUCCGAAAUAAAAAAGAGGACAAUUAGGAAACUGGACCUUGAAAUAAAAAAACUUGAGAGGGAGCUCCAAGAAGAUGAGACAGCUCAAAAUAAAAAUUAGGUAUAUUCUCGUAAAGUCAAGUGAGCCAUGACAUAGAGCUCUUAUUGUGAGCACACAGGACGGUGGCAUCUUUCUAAGGUUUUUUUUAUUUUCCCAGCAAUCAGUACAACAAAGUCAUCGUUAUAAGGCAUCGCCCUCUUUUGCCCACCCCCCCAGCACCAGGUGUGGCCACUAGCCUAUAUGAAGGCCCAAAAUUGUGUGUUCCUUUCUGCUCUGACAAUGGCAUGCCCAUUCGUGCGAGAUGUGGUGGAUGAAGAAGCACUUGUGCUGAGGAGAGCCUUCAGGCGAGAAAGGGUCUUCAGGGACCGGUUGGACCCACUGGCCUUCCCUGAUGACCAUCUAUAUGAAAGAUACAGGUUUUCUGCAGAUGGCAUCAGGUAUCUAUGUAGACUACUGGGUCCCAGGAUUAAGCACCGCACUGCACGGAGCCAUGCACUGAGUGUGGAGCAAAUGGUUUGUGUGGCCUUGCGCUUUUUUGCUAGUGGAGCCUUCCUGUACUCAGUGGGGGAUGCAGAACAGCUGAACAAGGCCACAAUUUGCCGCACAAUAAGGAGUGUGUGUCUGGCUAUCAAAGCAUUAGCAGAUGUCUUCAUCUCCUUCCCUGGCCACAGAAGACUCUGUGACAUCAAAGAGGAGUUCUAUAGGAUUGCAGGUAAGAGGAUCUACAAAUUACAGGACAACUGUUAACACAUAGUAGGAUACUCAUUACUUUGUGUGACAGGUUUCCCCAAUGUCAUUGGUGCAGUGGACUGCACACACAUAAGGUUAAAAGCCCCCUCAGGUGCCCAUGAGGCCGAUUUUGUGAAUAGGAAAUCCUUUCACAGCAUUAAUGUUCAGGUGAACAUAACUUUUUGAUAUUGUCCAUUGACGAACACUCUGCAUUGCCAGUGAUGUGCAUUGAUUGGUGUAAUAUUCCUCAUCUUAUGAUUUCAGAUGGUCUGCAAUGCUGACUGUGUGAUCAGCAAUGUUGUGGCAAAAUGGCCUGGCUCAGUCCAUGACUCCAGAAUCUUUCGGGCCUCUGAAAUCUAUCAGUGCCUA
Salvelinus fontinalis (brook trout) is the source of this 1665-nucleotide long non-coding RNA. RefSeq lists it as uncharacterized. The record is from RefSeq and is a predicted model, not a curated record. The transcript has 5 exons. Lineage: Eukaryota; Metazoa; Chordata; Actinopteri; Salmoniformes; Salmonidae.